AGCGACUAGAAGGAAGAUAAUAUUGAUUUACCUGUCUUUAGCAUAACUUGUUGAAUCAGUAGAAAGCGAGAGAUCAUCGUCAAGGUUUUAUGUUUAUUUACCACAAAAGACAUGCCUAGCUGAAAAUAUUAGCAUGCAUAUUUAGUAAACAUGUUAAAUUUGGUAAUGUUUGAUAUUUAUAAAAACUAGCUACAGAAAUUUGACAAAAAUGAACAGACAAUCGAUAUAUUACUUUCUGCUAAAACUUAUUUUUGAUGGCCAAAAAAAUAAAGCAUUGCGUUAUUUUUCUGUUUCCAUUCCUUGCAAUGCCCUUUGCCAGUAUUUUGCGAAGGAGAAACCCAAAAAGUCACUGACCUUGCAUAAGUUGAACACAUCGUAGAGAGAGUAUGAAAAAUAAAAGGCAAAAAAAUACGAGCAACAUAUUGCAAAGACCCAAAAGCUAUGAACUAAGCAGUUUAGUAACGCAAUUCAAUAAAGCAAUAGCGGAGCAAACAAUCAAACAGGGGGCCUCGGGUGAACAUGAAGAGACUUCAAUAAAAAAGAUCAUUAAAAUUGGUUUUAUAUUUAAUUCUUGUCUUGUUUUUCUCCUUUAAUCUUUCCUUCCAUCCGUUUACGGGCAGCCAAAAUCAUCUCUUCCUUUCGCUUGCGAAACAACUCUUCACGCUCUUUUUUGGAAGAUGGAAGCUUUGAACGAUUACGAACCUCUUCAUUGCCGGUGGACGAGGAUGAAUUGUCAGACGAAGAAAUCCUGGACGACAAGUUAUAAGUUUCAAUGAGGCUCCUGUGCUCGUUGCUUGCCAACGAAGAAGCGCUUGACCCAGAAGACACGUUGGAUGUCACUUCGUGCGAAGGAGUUGUUUCUUCUGAAUGAGAGGAAGCGCCUGCUCCAGCCGACAGUGGAAAGCGAGCGUACAAGGAGGAAUUACGGGGCGGCAGCGGUAGAGGUUGACCUCGCAAUGCAUUCUCGAUGGUUGCAUCGACAUUUUUUGUUUUUUGGAGGUCAUAGGCAAUAGCUGAUGAUUCUAAAUGUGGAAAAACGGUUUUGACGAGGUGAACAUGCUCGCUGUUCACAGGUGGUUCAUUAUCGACACCCGAAGACGAAGUUCUCGAUUCUGAAACUUCACCACCUUUAUCAACACGAAACAUCCAUCUUAAAGUAAGCACUGUAACUGUUAAAACGACAGCACACCCUGCUAAUUGCUCUGGUUGCAUAACUUUGGAUGUAUUAACAAAUAAUUCACAAAACGA
Molecule: non-coding RNA, 1248 nt
Organism: Schizosaccharomyces pombe (fission yeast)
Lineage: Eukaryota; Fungi; Ascomycota; Schizosaccharomycetes; Schizosaccharomycetales; Schizosaccharomycetaceae
Source: the annotation of a GenBank genome assembly